UGGGGGAUAUUGCACAAUGGGCGAAAGCCUGAUGCAGCGACGCCGCGUGGGGGAUGAAGGCUUUCGGGUUGUAAACCUCUUUCGCUAUCGAACAAGGCCCGCUUAGGGUGGGUUGAGGGUAGGUAGAGAAGAAGCGCCGGCUAACUACGUGCCAGCAGCCGCGGUAAUACGUAGGGCGCGAGCGCUGUCCGGAAUUAUUGGGCGUAAAGGGCUUGUAGGCGGCUUGUUGCGCCUGCUGUGAAAACGCGGGGCUUAACUUCGCGCGUGCAGUGGGUACGGGCAGGCUUGAGUGUGGUAGGGGUGACUGGAAUUCCAGGUGUAGCGGUGGAAUGCGCAGAUAUCUGGAGGAACACCGAUGGCGAAGGCAGGUCACUGGGCCAUUACUGACGCUGAGGAGCGAAAGCAUGGGUAGCGAACAGG
RNAcentral lists this ribosomal RNA (420 nucleotides) under bacterium. RNAcentral's name for it is "partial 16S ribosomal RNA". It matches the Rfam family "Bacterial small subunit ribosomal RNA", at positions 355 to 776 of the family's 1533-position model. The record is from RNAcentral.